CAGCAGCCACGGUAAUACAGAGGAUGCAAGCGUUAUCCGGAAUGAUUGGGCGUAAAGGGCUCGCAGGCGGUUUCUUAAGUCUGAUGUGAAAGCCCCCGGCUCAACCGGGGAGGGUCAUUGGAAACUGGGAAACUUGAGUGCAGAAGAGGAGAGUGGAAUUCCACGUGUAGCGGUGAAAUGCGUAGAGAUGUGGAGGAACACCAGUGGCGAAGGCGACUCUCUGGUCUGUAACUGACGCUGAGGAGCGAAAGCGUGGGGAGCGAACAGGAUUAGAUACCCGAGUAGUCCCUGUCUCUUAUAC
RNAcentral lists this ribosomal RNA (301 nucleotides) under uncultured bacterium. RNAcentral describes it as "partial 16S ribosomal RNA". It matches the Rfam family "Bacterial small subunit ribosomal RNA", at positions 509 to 807 of the family's 1533-position model. The record is from RNAcentral.